GGGGUUGUACCGGUUUCGACGGGGAUACGGAAGUCUCGGUAGCCAUCACCGGUGAUUAUUCACCAACUUAAAUUUAAUUGCUGAUAAUAAUUUAGCAUACGCUGCCUAACAACGGCAGCUGUCCCUACGAACCGUCCCGCCGGACCGUAACGGACAUCAUUUAAGCGGGAAACCGCCGUACCUAAGCUUUGCCGUACGGACGGAUAAUUCAUGAAGCUACUGCUGCAGGGGUCUGUUGACGGGCCGAUGCAAAGCGGGAAAUCAAUCCGUCGACUAUGAUGGUAGAAGCCGUUAUGAAAGGAUCUUCGGACAGGGGUUCGAUUCCCCUCAACUCCACUU
This 339-nucleotide transfer-messenger RNA is filed under the name Eubacteriales bacterium. It matches the Rfam family "transfer-messenger RNA". Rfam says of the family: Bacterial tmRNA, also known as 10Sa RNA or SsrA, is named for its dual tRNA and mRNA-like properties. Lineage: Bacteria; Bacillati; Bacillota; Clostridia; Eubacteriales. The record is from RNAcentral.